This 507-nucleotide ribosomal RNA is filed under the name Ptycta johnsoni. RNAcentral describes it as "partial 16S ribosomal RNA". The stretch from base 374 to 507 matches the Rfam family "Bacterial large subunit ribosomal RNA", at positions 2473 to 2607 of the family's 2925-position model. The record is from RNAcentral. Lineage: Eukaryota; Metazoa; Arthropoda; Insecta; Psocodea; Psocidae.
AAAACAUGUCUUUUUGUAAAAAAUUUAAAGUCAAAUCUGCUCACUGAAUAUUUAAAGAGCCGCAGUAUAUUGACUGUGCAAAGGUAGCAUAAUCAAUAGUUUUUUAAUUGAGAACUGGUAUGAAUGAUUAGACGAGAAAUUAUUUUUCUUUAUUCUAUUAAGUUAAAUUUUAAAUUUAAGUGAAAAUGCUUAAAUAUAUUUAAAAGACGAGAAGACCCUAUAGAUUUUUAUUAUUUAAAUGAAUUUUAAAUUUAAUUUAGUAGAAUAAUUUGGUUGGGGCGAUUUUUUAAUAUAUAAAACUUAAUUUUUUAAAAACAUAAAUAAUUGGAUAUUUGGUCUAAAAUUUUUAAAGAAAAGAUUAAAUUACCUUAGGGAUAACAGCGUUAUUUUAUUUAAGAGUUCAUAUCUAUAAUGAAGUUUGCGACCUCGAUGUUGAAUUAAGAUAAUAUAUUGGAGUAGAAAUUAAUAUAAUUAGUCUGUUCGACUAUUAAAUUCUUACGUGAUCUG